CACGCGAGAUCCGGCUGAGAAUUCAGGUCACCCAAUAUUAAAAAACGGAUCCCUUAUAUUUUUUGAAAGGCUUUCUUGCUUCACACAAUUCCAUAUUUUCACAAACCCUAAAUCUAUAGCUCAUGUUUCUCUCUUCUUGUGACAAGCGAUUCCAAAACAAUCUAAACAAGGGUGUCUUGCACAUCAUCAAGAAGAAAUUCUUAGUGAUUUUCUACAAGUUCAGAUUAUGGCUGUUUAUUGGACAUCGAUUUGUUUUUUUUUCAUCAAUUGCAACAAGGUGUAACCGGUGGCGGCUUACAAAUAAGUUGAAGCUGAGAGGAUGGCAAUGGAAGAAGAUGAUAUAAAAGAGAUUGGUGAAGACGAGAAAGAGAAAUUGAAUGAUGUGGAUUAUCUGACAGGGGUUCCUUUACCAAACGACAUUCUUUUGAAUGCGGUGCCUGUUUGCACUCAUUAUGUUGUUGCACAAUCAUAUAAAUAUCGUGUGAAGAUAAUCCAUGGAAUAGUAAAGAAAGGAAAAAGCUGCAAAAAUGGUGAUGAAUUUGUUUGGUUACAUGCCGGAAGCAAGCCAAUGAGAGAAAGAGUUGAUUGAGGCAUGCACAGGCCCGAAGUUGAUGGUUGCGAUUACGGGAAACGUCAAGAUAUCUGCGGCAGGACUGACAGGAAAGUGAUGUGUUUCGGUAUCACAUAUGGGUUUUGUCUGGUUCGGUAUCACAUAUGGGUUUUGCCUAGGGAGUGUAUUGAAGAAGAAUUAAUUGAACUCGGGAAGUCGUUUGUUAAAGUUAUGAACAUACGUGUAAUGUUGGAGCGAACAGAAUUCAAGCCUUUGUUGAUUUGAAGCUAGAAUAGAGAGAGAAGGACACGAUGAGAGAUAGAGAGAUCAGGAUCCUUACCUGGAGUCGAUUGGUCAUAACUUUCGGCCGUCUGAUAGGGUUAUUGCGGUACAAGUCGCCGGACAUGGAGCAGAAGAGGGUUGAGGCAAAGAAGUAUUUUCUGUAUCAGUUACUACGCAUGCUUAAAUACAUCCACUCAGCAAACGUGUUACACCGCAAUUAAAACCAAGCAACUCACUCCUUGAUGCAAAUUGUGACCUAAAGAUAUGUGACUUUGGGCUUGCUAGAACUACAUCUGAAACAAAUUUCAUGACCGAAUAUGUUGUAACCAGAUGGUAUGCGGCCAUUGAUAUCUGGUCAGUUGGCUGCAUUUUGAUGGAACCACUUUUUCCUGGGAAAGAUUAUGUUCAGCAGUUAUCUCUUAUAACUCAGAUAGAACACGACUUUGGAUCUUUGACUAUGUGAGUUUGGGUCAAAUGACCCGUGUGCUUGGACAUGCAAAGGUUCUCAAAAACACCAUUCUAUGCUCAGAUUGGCAAAGAGGCAUUGGCGGAUUCAUUAACAAAGGAGGUGGGCAGUGUUAUCUCUAUAAAUUUAUGUUUAACUGGUCCUAGAUGAUGCGGCUAUCAGGAAGGCAACUGACAAGUCAAGAUAAAGUGAGAGUGAUAAACCACCUGACUGGGUCGAAUGGAGAGAAGCGGUUGAAGCAGGUUCAUCAGUUAUAACCACCGAGUUUGCUGAAACAUCUCACGCUGUAGCUGAUAGCCUCUCCAAAGGUGAUCUUGAAGUUGAUCCAUCAGAUGAUAUUGCUACUGAUCCUCCAAACAAAGUGGAGGCUACUAAUGUCAUAUAGAUAUAGAUGAGAUAAAAGAGAGUAAUUACUAGUGGAAGGCGAAAAGAUACAAGGUUGCAACCUUAAGCCUGGAAGAUUGGAGCAAGUUUGAGAAAAUCACCUGCUGAUCAGCCAUGUCUAAAAUCCUUCUUUGUUUAUAUAUUUUCAGUUAACAAUCUUGGAAUGUAGCAAUUUAUUUUUUUCAUUUUCGCAUUCAGACACAAGGGUGAGAACUGUGGCUAUAGGUCGCAACACUGACCAAAUCAGUGACGUUAGAUGCUGGAUAGGCGUAUUAAACAUCCAAAGAAGUUAUUCAUGGCAAAUUGGGUAGGAUGGUCCCACCUCCAGUGGCGGUGACGAUGUAAGUGGCCAACACUAUUCAGUUUGGCUAUUCGGAAUCUGCUUUUUUGGCUAUUCAGAAGUGCAUCAGCAUUGAGAUUCUAAUGAAGGUAUUGGCUUUCUCUCUAUUCUGUCUUAAAAAAAUCACUCACAAUGAUUGUAAAAAAGUAUGGUAUGUUGUGUGAAGGUAAAGAGAAUUGGUGAAUAUUUUAGUGCUAAGACCACCCAUAGUGGUGAAACUUUCCGGCGUGAUCCCCCUCAAACACGCCCAAUAAUGUCGCCGCCCCACCCCCGCCGGCGUGAUCCGGCGUGAUCUUGCGGAAAUCCACCCUCCAGCGUUAUUUAAAACACGCUCAAAUGGGUUUUGGGUGGCCAAUCAGAUGUAUCCCACUAUUUGUUGACCAAUCCCCUUUUUUGUUAGUUUUUUGUUUUAUUUAAUUCUUUAAACCCCUUUUUAACAUAAUACACACAUCCCCACUACAUCCAUUUUAGAAAAACGCCCAACAAUGCCCCUUGCUGACUGGACUGCCACAUGGCGGAAAACGCCCAAGGGUGGGGGCAUUAUUCACCCUUACCACUACGCAUGGUCUAAUUAUGCUUAGAUAUAAGGGAAGUUUGUUAGGGUUCUUUUUGUUUUGUUUCAAAAACUGAAGACGGUAAACUGGACAAUGUUAAUCGAGAGCAAACAAUACUUUCGAUUUCACUAUACUGCUGUUAGGUUAAGAUGAUGGUUGAUAAAAUGUUGUAUUGGACAUGAAUUGGAGUGUUUAUCGAGUUCUUUAAAUAAAAAAAAAUUGUUCAGCCUUUUAUAAAUGUAAUUUAAAUAAAACAAACUAUGAAAAUCGAUUGAUUUUUAACCUUUUUAUGGUAUUGUGUAUGUUUAUGUUACAAAGAAAGAUGAGACUUUUUGCUUUAUGAUGGCUUGAUGGAGCUGUGCAAUGAUAUAAGUUCCAAAUAACAAUUGUAUCUUUUAAAUUACACUGUAUAUACACAUUAGUUUUCUAAUGUUUUUAAGAAUUAAAACUGAAUGGAGGAAGUUCAGGGGCUGUUUUGUA
Helianthus annuus (common sunflower) is the source of this 3056-nucleotide RNA transcript. It is a transcript of the gene named nuclear export mediator factor NEMF, with no coding region annotated. The record is from RefSeq and is a predicted model, not a curated record. NCBI's taxonomy places the organism in Eukaryota, Viridiplantae, Streptophyta, Magnoliopsida, Asterales, Asteraceae. The transcript has 9 exons.